ACCAUCUCACCUGAAGAAGAAAAUCUUCCCUGGAACUUGCAGGGUUAUCAGGAGAAAUAAGACACACUUGGCCCUGCUAAGGUUUCUGAUGCAGUUCCUGAAGUGACUGUCAGCCUUACAUGCUCAUUGUUUAUGUGCUAAAAAUGAGACAGAACUUCUAUUAAAUGGCAAAAGACUUCCAUUAAUAAAUCAAGUGAGUAAAAUGCAAUGAGCAUCAACACUUUCACCAGCAGAAGGUGGCCUGAAAACUGAUAACAGACUAAAUGAGCUACCAAACCAGAGAAGGC
This is a long non-coding RNA of Gymnogyps californianus (California condor), 287 nucleotides long. RefSeq lists it as uncharacterized. Lineage: Eukaryota; Metazoa; Chordata; Aves; Accipitriformes; Cathartidae. The transcript is spliced from 3 exons. The record is from RefSeq and is a predicted model, not a curated record.